GUCUCUAUCAGCAUCAACGUCAUCACAGGUCAGUCCCCUAUCCCCCUACACCAGUCUCUAUCAGCAUCAACGUCAUCACAGGUCAGUCCCCUAUCCCCAGUCUCUAUCCUGACAUCAACGUCAUCACAGGUCAGUCCCCUGUCCCCAGUCUCUAUCCUGACAUCAACGUCAUCACAGGUCAGUCCCCUGUCCCCCUACACCAGUCUCUAUCAGCAUCAACGUCAUCACAGGUCAGUCCCCUGUCCUCCUACACCUGUCUCUAUCAGCAUCAACGUCAUCACAGGUCAGUCCCCUAUCCCCCUACACCAGUCUCUAUCCUGACAUCAACGUCAUCACAGGUCAGUCCCCAAUCCCCCUACACCAGUCUCUAUCCUGACAUUAACGUCAUCACAGGUCAGUCCCCUAUCCCCCUACACCAGUCUCUAUCAGAGGGACAGUGCUGCUGUCAGCCUGAAUGAAGA
Oncorhynchus tshawytscha (Chinook salmon) is the source of this 461-nucleotide long non-coding RNA. The record is from Ensembl. Lineage: Eukaryota; Metazoa; Chordata; Actinopteri; Salmoniformes; Salmonidae.